Long non-coding RNA from Peromyscus californicus insignis, 9142 nucleotides. RefSeq lists it as uncharacterized. The record is from RefSeq and is a predicted model, not a curated record. The transcript has 3 exons. NCBI's taxonomy places the organism in Eukaryota, Metazoa, Chordata, Mammalia, Rodentia, Cricetidae.
AAUGCUUUACAACCAGCAGCUAAUUAACCCGCCCCACCCCCCACAGGUCAGCAUUAGCAUCUGCAGGUUAGAGAUAUGAUCACCCAGCGGGCCCCCUCCUACCUUCCAGUCAGCAACUGAACCUGGCUGGGCUUUGUGUUCAGCGUCUAUGAGUAAUGAUUUUCAUUUAAAGUGCAUCUUUGUUCUUGGACGGUAGCGCCAUCUGUUAUUACCGUUAUUUAUUUUGCCCUCGUUUAGUGCCUCCCCUGUACUCGGUAUCAGGCUGUCUGAUCUGCAGGUGACCUCUCCACCAGAUCUUCACCGGCCCUCGGAAAAUCCCAUGCCUUGGAAGACUCUGGUCUAAUGGCAAACUCCAUUUAUUUUCCUACAACUCUCAAUUUGUGCUCCAAGUAUUUUUAAUCCAAAUUACCACUGCCGGUUGUAAUUGCAAUACUGCAAACGUUUGCCAACACAACCAGUGUCCCUCCGCAAGCUUCUGCCCGGCUCUUCAUGUUGAGGCUGCACUUCCCCAGUGAGCCCAGGCAGCUAUGCUCUGUGCUGUAUCACCGGUGAGCCAAUUAUUUCAAUUUUGGCAUCAGAUUCAGAAGAGAGUUUAAUGAUCCUCCAUGGUAUAAACUGAAUUUUUAUUCCUACAGCAAUUUAGUAAUGAUGAUGGCACUUAAGUACUUAGAAUAUAUUUCUCAUCUUCCCACUCUGAUAAACAGGGGGCCAGACAACCAGUUCAGUCACUUCUCUGGACUGCCACAUUGACACCAUUUUGCAGAAUUAGGAGGCCAAGCUUACUUACAUCCCGCUCUUCUGCCAGGGAAUGGGGGAAAAGAAUCCCCCAGACUCCACGCCUCUCUGCUGAGGAUUCAGGUGGGUGUCAGAAUAAGGUCCCAGGACUUACACACUCAUGUUAAUUAACCCACUUGUUCACUUAUUCAACAAAUAUCUAAUGAGUUUCUACGAGGUAAGGAAACUAGGCCCCAGGAGAGAGCUGAGAUGUACCAGGCAUGUUCUUUUUUCCUCUAAUCAAAUUCAACUCCAACCCCCCAGCUGGGUUCCAAAUGAUUUGAGUACUUCAUUUAUGUUCGCAUAUGUUUGCUCCAGCCAUUCAGCAAACAGUCGGCAGGCACCUUCUAGGUAUGAGCUGUUCCUUUGGGAGCUCAAUAGUUUACAACAAAGACCUAAUCUGUCAGCAGAUUCUGUUGGCUCUGCCUCUAUCUCUAAUUCUGGGAUCUGGUCUUUUCUCAUCCUCCAUGGCUUCUGAUCUGGGCCAAUCACAUAAGCCAGAACCUUCUUAUUGAUCUCUGUGUAUGAGGGAGACUGUGUCAACCAGACUGACUUUUAGGCUGCGAUUACCUAAGCGAGAAGAUCUGCUGUUAAUGUGGACAGUGUAGUCGCAUGGGCUUCUGGGAGGAAAAGGAGGAAAAGGGGGAAAGUAAAUGAAGCACCAGGAAGCUGAGUCUGCUUUCUGACUCUGGAUGCAAUGUGACCUCAUGCUUCUUCAGCCACAGCUUCCUUCCCUGACAGGAUGGGCUAUCACUCCUCAGACGGUGAGCCAAAUCAAACCCUUCCUUCUGUAAGUUGCUGUUGACGGGUAUUUGUCACAAUAAUGAGAGAAAUAACUAACAUACCCUACCCUGCUUCUGCUCUUGUCUUCCACUGUCUGUUCUCAACACAGCAUAGCCAUCUUUUAAAAUACAGACUCCGACUGUGCACAUCUUCAAAAGGUCCUAGGCCUUUCUGUCUCACUCAGAGGAAAGGCCUGGUUUCGCCUCUCCGUCUUGGUCUCUUUUCUUCUCUCUGUUCACCCUGUCCGAGUCACUCCGAUUUCUUUGCUGUUCCUCCGACUCACCAGGCAAGUUCUUACCUCAGGGCCUUUGCUUAUCUGUGGCUCUCUCUGUUUGGGGUGUUCUCUCUUCAGUUACACACGUCUUAUUCCUUACCAUCUCAGGACAUGGCCCCAUUGUCAGCUUCUCUGGGCUGGCCAGUUCCUUUAAAAUGCUUACCUAGUCCUGCUCUGAGUUGCUAUAUUACUUCCACUGCUUUGCUCUAUGGUGCCCUCUGUGUGACAUAUUACUUCCUUUAUUUAUGGUAUGUCUCUCACCACUAGAAUGUAAAUUCCACACAAGCAUAGGCCUUUCUCUGUUUUAUUUACUGUUUACGGCCUAGCCGUAAACAGAUAUUUAAAAAAAAAUUGUUGAAUAUCUAUACAUGUAUGUAAUGAACACAUGUACUAAAUAGCAUUAUCAUGGCCUCCACAGAAUUUACAACGAGGCUGAAGCUUUAUCUAGAAAUAAGCAGGAGCUGUCAUCCAAGAAACCCAGGUAUGGUAGUUCAAAAGGUAGAAAAUUCUUUUUGCCAUCUUGAACGAGCCAGGCAAACAGGGCCCUAGGGUCACAGGUAUGUUCUGUUGGGAAAGAGCUGCAAUACCUGUGGAAGGGUAACAGAGGUUCCUUGAGGCUCAGUCUAUGACUGGACCUAGAAAGACUGGGCGCCUUGUGUGGCGUCUCAUGGAAACCUGGUGGCCACGGCAGCUGGCCGUCCUUUGCCUCCUGCCUACGUCUCACUAACCAGCGCCCGUGCAGAAUCAGCCCCACGUCCUGCAUGGAGCCCCUGCUGAGGCUCUGUGGCUGUAGUCUGCAGAUGUCAGUGGCGAACAUCUGGGGGAAGGAGAGUCCUGUCAUUUCUCCUGACGGAUCUCGACAAGAGAUGUCAGGUUAGAGCUAGUUAUCUGAGUGCCUAACUGGAUCCUGAGGAUAAAUCUCUUAGUUUGGUAGCACUUUACAGUAUGUGGCAGCAGUUCAUGCAUAAUUACUUCUGAAUUAUCUAGGGAAUUCAUCAGGUUUGAUUAUAGAUGCAUAAUGAACUUACCAAAUUUGAGGGUAUUAGGGAGAUAUUAAUUCCAUAUGAAACCUCACAAUUCAUUCAUGUGCCAUUUGUUUUCAUUCCUUUUUUAUAAUAAGCUAAUUAGUUUAAAUUAUUUGUACUUGUACAAGGUCUUGAAACACAUAUAAGGAAUGAUUAUACUACAGAACCCAAUAAAUGAGAAGCUUUAGAGACAGCAUUAAUUGUGAUAAAGGGUUCAUAAAGCAGUAGAUGUUCAAUUUUCCCAUUUGGGGUGGUAAUAAUAGGCCUAAUCAUGACACCUCCAUAAAGUCGUGGGAAGUCCCUAAUUAACAUUUCUGAAUUCAGAUAUUUAAAAGAAGGUGGGAGAAGCCGUUGUGCCAACCGGAAGAUGAGGCAGAAAGGGGAGUUCGACCUUGUGCUAAGCAAAGAAGAAAGGAGGAGCCAGGCAGGGCUUGCUAGUCCUGUGCUAGAAGGAAGAUGCACACUCAGGCCUUAUCGGCUCUGAGGACUCUGUGAGGAAAAACGCCAGGUUCUGAAGGUCAUGGGCAAGCCAGGAUUUCUGUCCUUCCAAACGGAAGGUGGGCUUUGGGUGGACCCCGGCACCUGCUGGCUGACCCUGUUGUUAUUUAUGUGGCACUGGCUCGCUCUGGACUGUGAACCUACCUGCAGUCCCUGCGUGUGGAAGCUGCCUCUAAAGUACUGAAGAUGGAGACAGGAUUGAUUUUUCCAGAAGAACCUCAGCAGAGGAGUUCAUGAAGAAAUGAGGAGAAACAAGUGUGACUGAGAGUACUCUUCUCCCCCCUCCCCCCCACCGUGCCACAUCCUGCCUGUCUGUGGGAGAGUGUUAUCCCGGCCAUCUCAGAGUCACCAUACAGGUGACAUGUGAGAGGUCUGAGCUCCUACAACCCUGACAUGCCCUGGGCCAUGUAUAUCUAAAAAUUUACUCCCUUUCCCUUCCACGAUACCUCAUAUACGUCUUAAUUAAAAAAAAAAUGCAUGUUUUAAGCUUUUUUUUUUUUUCUUAAAAAAUUUUAGCCCUUGUCCUUCAGAGCUAUCAUUAAUCUAACGGACAGUAAGUCAGGAGCCUGCAGACAUCACUCCUUGUCUUCUUGGCCUGCAGAAGAUAGCCAACCUGCCUCAUUUUAGGGAGGAGAAAAGGACGUGUGGAAGACUAUUCUUAGCUCACUCUGGUCCAGGCUGCACGGAAGGCAGGUGGAUCUUGCCCGCCGUGGGCAGAUGAUGGCAGGCCCAUCUAUCCAUCCCCAUUUUGUGCCUUGUGAUUUGGCAGCUCUGGGAAGGUUUGUGAGGCAGAGGGAAGGGUGGGAUCGGGGCUCAGGGAAGGGGUAGGAAGAGAUAAGUGACUUCAGUCAGGAUCAUUUUUCCUGAUGUCAAGCCUCACCCAGGAGAGCUUUCCCUGUUGCCUGCUUUUAUCUGGAAAACAAUACAAGCAGUAUCUCUGAAAAUUAGGUCAGGGCUUGUGAUGGCAGGGGCUUGCCAAGGUGUGAACUGCCUGAAUCCUCGGCGGGCUCGCUCUGCGUUCUGCUCUGACAAAUGUUUCCUUUGUUUCCCUGAAAAGUCUGACUUGCCGAAGCGCCUGAGCCUGCUCUUUCUCUUUCUUUUGGUCUCCCCACGGACAACAGAAUUUGGAAAGAAAAAAAAUUCCCCACUUGUCAAGUUCUCCCUCUUCCUCUGAACUCCUUCUCUGCUGCUAUCACUCUGGGGACUGGAAGCCACUUUGAGGAGGGUGUGAACCCUCCUUCUUAUCAUCUCUUCAGCAGGGUAGGCCGACCUGCACCAGAAGUCUUAGGAAGGCUGUGUGGACCCUGCCAGGGCCAGCAAUGUCAGAGGCCUUUAUCCUGCCUCCUGCUCCUCUACCGCAUCAACUUGCUUCUGCUGGAGCCUGGCAUUGUGGUGGGCAUUCUUUGUGUGGCCACAAAUCCUACUGAUUAUUCUAGAAAAUCAUUGAUCACAUCGACAACAAAGUUGCUACUUUGUCUACCAUCAUCCUUGGAGCACAGAGAGUCAUCCCAGUUGACAGCCCUUCCUGAGAGCAUGGGUCACAGUUGUUGGAUUAACCUUAUCCCUCUAUCUCACAAGGAGGAGAGGCAAGUGGGCAUUCAUCAAGAGAACUCACAGGAAGCUAUUUGGACUGGCCAAUUAGCUAACCACUCUACCCUGAAGUCCUUAGAAAGCUAUGGAAAAUCAGACUCCCCCCACUUGCCUGCAAAGAUAAUCAUGAAUGUUAAUAAUUAGUUGAUUUACAUGCUGUCUUUGCUUCAAGAGUCUCAAGCAUGCUGGGCUUGUUUAUUUUGUUUCUCCUAUUUUAAAAAUUGUUUCCACCAAGGCUGAGAGAGCUUCUCUGUGGGUUCUUUCAAAUUGAGAAUAACACCUCAUAGGAUUAAGAGAAUUCAGUCAGGAAAUUCAUGUGGAAUACUUACCAUAAUUCUUAUCACCUAGUAAGUACUCAAUAAAUAGAAGCUAUUAUUAUUGUAUCAUUUUAGUCAGCUUGAUGACUCAUGGGUUGCUUGUGAACUUCUGAAUAUUUUCAGAGUGAGAAGAUGGAACCCUAGCUUGAGUAAUUGAGUACUCUGUUCAGGCUCCUGACAACCAUCUCAUUCCACAUAUUAGUAUCCUUACGUCCCUAUUACAAGUCAGUUUUAGACCAAAGAUAGUGGACUGGGGAGGUGAAGAGGCACCUAAAAGACAAAUGCUUAUCUUCAUACAGGUCACUGCUCAAAAUCAUAUCGAAGACUAGUCAAUGUGAUAGUUUUGAUGGAUAACUUGACAUGUGUAGAAUCAACAGAAAAGAGUCUCAGUGAAGGAUUAUUUAGAUUAGAUUAGCCUGUGGUUGAGUCUUUGGGAGAUUAUAUUGAUUAUGUUAAUUGAGGUGGGAAGAUAUAUCCAUUGUGGGUGGCACUAUUCCCUUGGCAGGGGAUUCUGAACUCUCUAAGAGUAGAGAAAGGGAGCUGAGUACCAGUGGGCAUACAUGAAGUCAUUGCUCUCUGCUGGAUGUAUUGGGACUAGCUGCUUCAAGUUUUAGCCCCCUUGACUUCUCUGCAAUGACUGACUGUAACCUGGAACUGUAAGCCAAAUCAACCCUUUCUCUCUUAAGAUGCUUUUGUUACACUAUUUUGUCAUAGCAACAGGAAAUAAAAGUAAGACAAUCAGAGUGACUGUCUAAACAGAGUGCCUCAAGAGUGAUUUCCAAAGGGUGAUAUGCCAUCUAACAAGGCAAAUUAAAGGACAUACUUCCCUGCCACACUAACUGAACCGGGGUUCUUGUGAGGAAGGUCCAGGCAUUUGCAAUUAAAAUCUAUUCUGCUCCAUGGUAAGGGUCACAUGCCACUAAGUGGUCCUCCAAAGUCAUCUCCAAACUUGCAAUAACCCCCCAAGAAAGACUGGAGACUGCAAAAUAUUUACCUUGUAAGAGCAUCUAAUAAGCUCGACAUCCCUGUGAUGCUCUGAUAUUGAGCACAGCAAUGGAAGUUUGGGGUCACUACCAAGCUUGCAGAGUGUGGCUUGGACACUUACAGACAGUCCCUCUAGGAUCUUGGGCAGAUAGCAGGCAGUUGCUAACUCCGGGGGUAAUCUGGGAGGAGAGAGGCCAAGGGUGUUCACAGCACUGGUGUAGCAGAGUUUCUCACUCUUUUCAUGGCCUCUUUGAAUGAAACACUUUCACUCCCUCCUCCUCCCCUUCGUCACUUAGUCUCACUUUCAAAUAAUGUUAUGCCAGCGACUGUAAACCCCGAGGCAGCCCAUGGAAGCCAUGCCACCGCUGCACAUGUUGUGUGUACACAUACUUACAUAUUCCGCACCACUGCCUUUGUUCUUAAGCCAAUAAAAGUGAUUUUCAGAUCAUCUGCGGCUUUGGAUCCUCUGCACCACUGCUCCCCCCAUUAGCAUGGCUAAUUGAGAACUGACUGUGUGUCUUGGACCAUUUCCAAGCAGGGAACCCAUUGCCUAGAAUGAUGUGGGCUCCCCAAGAGAACUGAGCAAAUAGAGAGAAAUAUCAAGUCGGGUGUCCGUUGGAAGAAGAGUACACUUUUAAGGAUGAUCUGACCAGUCCCAGUCCAGAGAAGCAAUCUGGUUUGGCAUGUCACAUUGAUUUCCAAGUCAGUAAACUGUAAAACUGUCCCCCAGCUAGAACAUGCAACAACUCAGAGAAAGAUGAGGUUUGGCCAGUAAAGGAUGAAGCCAUCAUAAGACCAAUAAAAAGAUGCAAUGUGGUUCUCCUUAGGCUGUAUAUCAACACCUUCCUGGAGGCUACAAGGGACAGUGCACAUAGGCGUAUGUUCUGUUUCACUUUGUAGAGUGAGGAUGAGAUAGAGGUUGGUGGGGAAAUUCCCCUCAGUCUCACUAUGCAGCUCUGUCUGGCCUGGAGCUUACUAUGUAGAUCAGGCUGACCAAAACGUCUACAGAAACCUACUCUGUGCAGAAACCCCCAUUUAGACAUUUUUUUUUUUUUGUCUUAGGACAUCAUGGUGAAAAUACUCAAGUAGAUCUCAGACAUGCUGAGAAAAAACAAAACCAAAAAACCAAAACCAAGACUCCCAAACAGCAAAAUUACCCACAGAAAACAAAACCAAGGAAUGGAAACAAAAACAAAAGCAAAAGGAAGCACGAAAUUGUAAGCACGUUUUGGAUGGUGUCAUUUUUCUUAUGACAUAAGCUCCCAGCUGGCCCCGGCACUGUCUCUUGGAAUAAAUAGCAAGCUGCGGAGGGUCAUGCCUCAUGUGGGUUUCUGAUAAGUAUUGUUUGGUUGUAUGCUGUUUAUCACAAAGACAAUGGAUAGUAUUGUCAGACAGACUCAUGAGCAGCUGCCUUUUGCAAGAAGAAUGGGAGAAGUUCCCCAGAACUUGCACAAUUCUGCGUUCUGUCCCAAACAAUAAGAAGUGAAAAGCCUGGGCUGAGGGCACUGGGAGGCAGAGGCAUAUUUCUCAGGAGGGCUAGAAAACCCGUGCUCAGGGUUAAACUGUGCAAAUGGGGUCUUAGUGUGUGUGCAUUCUCUAUCAGUCAGAGGUCAGCGGACUCCAUUUGUAUCUGCCUCCUCAUCACUGCUUGAGGACAUGAACUGGACCACUGCAUGAGGGCUUUGGGUAUGGAGCUAGAUAUGGUAGUUUACGUUGGCUCACAUUAGACUCUCCUAGGAGGGCCCUCAAAGCCUAAUCUAUUCCACUGAAGAUUCUGGCUUAUGGAACCUGGGUUGUAUUAUACAGCACCUGGGAUAUUUUAGGCAUAAGGGGAACAAAAGCCACGCCAAAGCCUCUUAGGUGGUGGGGGCGAGACCGGCACCAUGAGGCUCCCCUUCAAUCUACCAGGAUCAAGCCGAGACCGAAGCGGUGUUCUCAUCUUUAUAGAUACCAAGCAGUAGAUGGUGGGUUGUGGAUGGGAAGGAAAGAGGGAAAGUUGAGAAAAAAGAAGAGAGUUGGGAAGCCUAGGAGUUAAAUAAGUUGGAUUUCUCCUGAGAGGUUUUUUCAUCAGGAUCCGAAAGGUGAAGGAUAUGCUUGCUGGUAGUUUCUGGUGAAAGAUGUAUGGCUUGUGACAAAGCAUUGUUUCUGUUUGCAGUCACCAGGGAGUUGGGUAACUGGUGACUAGCAACUUGGAAGACUCACUGAAAAUAAAAAGUGCAUACCUGUCUCUAAAAGUCCAUUACCAUAACAAUUGUCCAUGACUUUGGGGGAAUCUGCAUCUUGGCUACAAGAGAAAACAGGAAAAUGGAAAUUGUGUGUGUGUGUGUAGGGGGUGUUGGUGGUGGUGUUGGAGAACCCCAAAGGCUGUAGUAGUCAGCGGUCUGUUAUUGUAACAAAAUACUCGAGACAAUCAACAGAAGGAAGGAAAAGGUUAGUUUGGCUUACGGUUGUACCUGAUGGUGGGAGCGCAUGGGGGAAGCCCUCCCCUUCAUAGUGGCUGGGAAGCAGAGAGAGGUAAGGAGCAUGGAGUUCCCACAUCUCCUUCAAGGAUGGGUCCCCCUAGGUCCUGGUUCCUGAAGGCUUCACCACCUCUCCGUAGCACUAGACCGGCAACUAAACCAUCACCACGUAGUCCUCCGUGGGACACAGCCACACUAUGACAAAGGCUGAUGGACAUUGUGCACUGGUGAUGCUGGGGGUGCCGAAGCAGUGUGUGACCUAACAAAGAAGGGAACUGCAGAGCAGAUCAGUAAGAAGAGACUGACCGGGUCACCCAAGCUUCCAGCAGGUUCUCGGUAUCAGCUGCUAGGUAGAGGAUGUCCCUCGGGUCAUGUCUUCAUUCUCUGCUCCACCCCACCUUUUCUCCUCACAUAUUUCUAGUCAGACCCACUCCCAUG